This 462-nucleotide ribosomal RNA is filed under the name uncultured bacterium. RNAcentral's name for it is "partial 16S ribosomal RNA". It matches the Rfam family "Bacterial small subunit ribosomal RNA", at positions 28 to 507 of the family's 1533-position model. The record is from RNAcentral.
GACGAACGCUGGCGGCGUGCUUAACACAUGCAAGUCGAGCGGAAAGGCCCUUCGGGGUACUCGAGCGGCGAACGGGUGAGUAACACGUGAGUAACCUGCCCCAGACUUUGGGAUAACCCUCGGAAACGGGGGCUAAUACCGGAUACGACACAGCUUCGCAUGGGGUCUGUGUGGAAAGUUUUUCGGUUUGGGAUGGGCUCGCGGCCUAUCAGCUUGUCGGUGGGGUGAUGGCCUACCAAGGCGACGACGGGUAGCCGGCCUGAGAGGGCGACCGGCCACACUGGGACUGAGACACGGCCCAGACUCCUACGGGAGGCAGCAGUGGGGAAUAUUGCACAAUGGGCGGAAGCCUGAUGCAGCGACGCCGCGUGAGGGAUGACGGCCUUCGGGUUGUAAACCUCUUUCAGCAGGGACGAAGCGUAAGUGACGGUACCUGCAGAAGAAGCGCCGGCCAACUACGUG